Molecule: RNA transcript, 2515 nt
Organism: Mesocricetus auratus (golden hamster)
Lineage: Eukaryota; Metazoa; Chordata; Mammalia; Rodentia; Cricetidae
Gene name: H-2 class I histocompatibility antigen, alpha chain-like
Exons: 5
Source: RefSeq, a predicted model, not a curated record
AUCCCGCCCCUGUCUCUGAGAGACACAGUGUCCCUGGGGCUCCUGAUCCAGCCUGGCAGGGACUGCACUGAUCUCCCAGGGCUCAGCCUUCUCCCUGGAAGGUUCCAGAUCUGUCUCAGGAGGAGAGAAGACGCCCACAUUCCCAGCAGUGGCUCCUUCAGUCUGCAGCCCUGGGUCAGCCAUGGCCUCUCCCAGGCCGGGUUCUCUGCCCAGACCCAGUGUCUGAGUGUGUCAGCCUUACACACCGGGACCGGAGUCUCCUUUACCUGAUGGGAGAGGAGGACACGCCUACCCUAGGCUGGUUCCCCAGUUUCUACAACUUUCCAAAAAAUACAUUCUCCCAAAUUCCUGUGUGUGAGGUUUGCAUCCCUCCCUCACCCCAAUUCUCACUCUUCCUAGAAUGGUCACGUGAGCUCUUAUGGGGUGCCCUGAAAAAACCUCUAAAAUAUGUGGGUUUUUUAAUUUUGUCUUUCUUUUUUUUUAACUGUCAUUUUCCUUCAGUUAGUUUUUUCUUCCUCACUGGGGUGACACUGUUUUGCCCUCCCUUUUCAUUAUCAUCUGUAUGAGUCUCCACAGGUGUCAUGGGGGACUGCUAGUCUGGAUAAUUAGACAGCUCAGUGUUCCCUUUAAAGGAAAGAGUCCCAUGAGCUUACACUAUUUUCUGCCACAAUUAACUAUCUGAACCCCCCACUAAGUUCCCUCAGCCCCAACAAGUUUCAGUGUUGCCCCAGUGAAUUAGGAGUUGAGCUUCCUCAGAGACAGGGUCUUCUGCAACUGAAGACUGGAGUGACAGGAAAAUCCACACACCCCUGUGAGCACCGCUGUGUCCCAGUGAGUGCUGCACUGGGCUCCACAGCAACUUCCAGGGAUCCUGGGUGACAACACCUUGUAUCUUGUCCCCCAGAGGCAGUAUUGGGGAGUCAUUUUCUCUAGGUGAGUGUCAGAGGUUCACCCCAUUUCUGCUGCACACUUGGUGUUGUCUGUUCACUUGGACAGUUAACCGUUGGACUGGUCAGCAAGAUGGCCACAGCGGUUGUGAUUCAAUGGUGGCACCCUUUAUGUAUCCCAUUCUUCAUAAUUUGUUAUAUUGAUAUGAUUUUAAUCAUGUAUGUAAAUUAUAUUACAUCCCUUUUUCCAUUCUUUUCCCACCUAACUUAUGGUAUAGAACAUUAUAUAAGGAAGACCAUGUGACCUGCUGGGUCAUGUGAUUCCCUCUUAGCUUCUGGGCUCUCCCAGGAAAAUGUGCAGAUCUGUGAUGAAGGGGACCAGCUCCACCUGCAGGUCACUAGUGGGAUGGCAGUCAGAAGCGUUCAGACACAUAGUUCAGUGUCAUCAUUGAUUUAACUUAGUCUAUGCAGAUUUCAGUUUACCUUGUUAUUGUGGGAUUUCUUAAAUCUUCCACACAGAUCCCCCAAAGGCACAUGUGACCCAACAUCCUGGACAUAAAGGUGAUGUCACCCUGAGAUGCUGGGCCCUGGGUUUCUACCCUGCUGACAUCACCCUGACCUGGCAGAGGGAGGAGGAGGAACAGACUCAGGACAUGGAGCUGGUGGAGACCAGACCUUCUGGGGAUGGAACCUUCCAGAAGUGGGCAUCUCUAGUGGUGCCUUCUGGAGAGGAGCAGAGAUGCACAUGCCAUGUGCACCAUGAGGGACUGCCUGAGCCCCUCACCCUGAGAUGGGAGCCUCCUCAGUCUACUGUCCCCAUCAUGGCAGUCAUUGCUGUUCUGGUUCUCCUUGGAGCUGUGACCAUCAUUGGAGCUGUGGUGGCUGUUCUGAGGAAGAGGAAGGGAAAAGCAGGUGGAAAAGGAGGGAACUAUGCUCCAGCUCCAGGCAGGGACAGUUCCCAGAGCUCUGAUGUGUCUCGCCCAGUCUGUUAAGGACCCAACUAGAUCCCUGCACUCGGGAGACUGUGACCUAAGAACAUGAACUUCAAUCUGAGCUCCUGCCUCAUUCCAGGCCCCUCCCUGGCUCUCUCCUUCUCUCCCAUCAUUUAGAAUUUAAGCAGAGUUGUAGGAUGGCAGAGAGAGGGAUCCACAGGGUCUCAUCUCAGAUCUGUCCUGUUGGAUCUGUGUUCUGCCCAAGGUCCCCUCUCCCUCCCUGGCUCUGGGUAUCCUGGUGCUGCCUCCAGUGGAGAUUCCAGGAUUUACAGGCUGAGCCUACCUUAGAUUUGUGUUUGUUUAAAAGACAUGAUCCAGGGACUGAAGAGAUGGCUCAGGAUUUCAGAUCACUGGCGGUUCUUGCAGAGGAACCAUGUUAGACACCAGCACCUACACCGUGGCAGAUAGCCAUCCAUAACUCCUGUUCCAUAGCAUGAAAUGCCCCCUGUGGACACCAGAUAGACACAAGGUGCAAAUACCUACAGGCAAGAAUUCAUUCACAGAUGUAAAAUAAUGAAUGUUUAAAAAUAGGUUGUGGGGGGCUGGAGAGAUAGCUCAGAGGCUACGAGUACUGACUGCUCUUCCAGAGGUCCUGAGUUCAAUUCCCAGCAACCACAUGGUGGCUCACAACCAUCU